Molecule: unclassified non-coding RNA, 466 nt
Filed under: Hevea brasiliensis (rubber tree)
Lineage: Eukaryota; Viridiplantae; Streptophyta; Magnoliopsida; Malpighiales; Euphorbiaceae
Source: RNAcentral
GAAGUUUCAUGUCAUUCACCUGACGUUGAGGGUGCACAUUCCGACAACAAAGGAAAUGCAAUGACAAUGUACAAAGUGAAGCAAAAGGCUCGAGUGCAUCAGGUGUUGCACUAGUGUACAGAAACUAGUUGACCAAGUAUUCGGUUAUCAAAUUUGGGAAUACAUGCAGAGGAAGCAACACUGACUUAUAAGUUUAUGUUUCAUUUUCAAGUUGGUUAUUGAAGAAGGAAUUAGAAGAACAGACGUCUAAGUCUUAUACCAUAAACAGCUUUAGAUCAAAAGUGGACCUAUCACCUGUGACUCAUCAGAAACGCCUUAGCCUCUCAUCUGACUGUCGGUACUUCAUCAAUGGUGUCUGGAUAACUAGCUUCAAUUACCGAACAAGAAAAUAAACUUCCGGCUUUUAGCUAUGAUGAUACUUAGAAACAGCUACAUGUUGGAAUCAAGAUAAGUGGCAUGAACAAAC